AGUGAGCGCUGGCGGUAGGCCUAACACAUGCAAGUCGAACGGCAGCACAGUAAGAGCUUGCUCUUACGGGUGGCGAGUGGCGGACGGGUGAGGAAUACAUCGUAAUCUACUUUUUCGUGGGGGAUAACGUAGGGAAACUUACUCUAAUACCGCAUACGCCCUACGGGUGAAAGCAGUGGAUCUUCGGACCUUUUGCGAUUGAAUGAGCCGAUGUCGGAUUAGCUAGUUGGCGGGGUAAAGGCCCACCCAGGCGACGAUCCGUAGCUGGUCUGAGAGGAUGAUCAGCCACACUGGAACUGAGACACGGUCCAGACUCCUACGGGAGGCAGCAGUGGGGAAUAUUGGACAAUGGGCGCAAGCCUGAUCCAGCCAUACCGCGUGGGUGAAGAAGGCCUUCGGGUUGUAAAGCCCUUUUGUUGGGAAAGAAAAGCAGCAGGUUAAUACCCCGCUGUUCUGACGGUACCCAAAGAAUAAGCACCGGCUAACUUCGUG
RNAcentral lists this ribosomal RNA (492 nucleotides) under uncultured bacterium. RNAcentral describes it as "partial 16S ribosomal RNA". It matches the Rfam family "Bacterial small subunit ribosomal RNA", at positions 29 to 507 of the family's 1533-position model. The record is from RNAcentral.